RNAcentral lists this ribosomal RNA (253 nucleotides) under uncultured bacterium. Its description in RNAcentral is "partial 16S ribosomal RNA". It matches the Rfam family "Bacterial small subunit ribosomal RNA", at positions 524 to 776 of the family's 1533-position model. The record is from RNAcentral.
UACGUAGGGUACGAGCGUUGUCCGGAAUUAUUGGGCGUAAAGAGCUUGUAGGCGGUUUGUCGCGUCUGCUGUGAAAAUCCGGGGCUCAACCCCGGACUUGCAGUGGGUACGGGCAGGCUAGAGUGUGGUAGGGGAGACUGGAAUUCCUGGUGUAGCGGUGAAAUGCGCAGAUAUCAGGAGGAACACCGAUGGCGAAGGCAGGUCUCUGGGCCACUACUGACGCUGAGAAGCGAAAGCAUGGGGAGCGAACAGG